UACGUAGGUGGCAAGCGUUGUCCGGAUUUCCUGGGCGUAAAGGGCGUGCAGGCGGUCUGUUAAGUGCAGGGUGAAAGCUCCCGGCUCAACUGGGAGAGGUCCUUGCAUACUGGCGGACUUGAGGGGGGUAGAGGAAAGUGGAAUUCCCGGUGUAGUGGUGAUAUGCGUAGAUAUCGGGAGGAACACCUGUGGCGAAGGCGGCUUUCUGGGCCCUACCUGACGCUGAGACGCGAAAGCGUGGGGAGCGAACCGG
This 253-nucleotide ribosomal RNA is filed under the name uncultured bacterium. RNAcentral describes it as "partial 16S ribosomal RNA". It matches the Rfam family "Bacterial small subunit ribosomal RNA", at positions 524 to 776 of the family's 1533-position model. The record is from RNAcentral.